UUUUUGCAUAUCAAUAAGCNGAGGAAAAGAAACCAACAGGGAUUGCCUCAGUAACGGCGAGUGAAGCGGCAAAAGCUCAAAUUUGAAAUCCCCCCGGGGAGUUGUAAUUUGAAGAUUGCGUCUUGGAGGCGACCGUGUCUAUGUUCCUUGGAACAGGACGUCACAGAGGGUGAGAAUCCCGUGCGGCACGGCCCCCGGCUCCUUAUAAGGCGCUCUCGACGAGUCGAGUUGUUUGGGAAUGCAGCUCAAAGUGGGUGGUAAAUUCCAUCUAAAGCUAAAUACAGGCGAGAGACCGAUAGCGAACAAGUACAGUGAUGGAAAGAUGAAAAGCACUUUGAAAAGAGAGUGAAACAGCACGUGAAAUUGUUGAAAGGGAAGGGCAUGCCGUCAGAUUGUCAGUGUGGGUAAGAAGCGGGGUACAAAGACUGUGGAACGUGGCCCUCGGGUGUUAUAGCCGCAGUUCAUGCCCCGUCUCUUUCCGAGGCCUGCUUUGAGGACACCGACGUAAUGACGGUACGCCGCCCGUCUUGAAACACGGACCAAAAAGGCUUUAUU
This 555-nucleotide ribosomal RNA is filed under the name Kodamaea ohmeri. Its description in RNAcentral is "partial large subunit ribosomal RNA". It matches the Rfam family "Eukaryotic large subunit ribosomal RNA", at positions 33 to 681 of the family's 3401-position model. Lineage: Eukaryota; Fungi; Ascomycota; Pichiomycetes; Serinales; Debaryomycetaceae. The record is from RNAcentral.